CACCAAACUUUUUGUUACCAACAAACCAUCUAUCAUUGCUCCACACUCGGUAUGGUAUGGUCCCUUUUUGUAGAUGGCCUUCCCACUGACGAAUUCUUAAAAAAUGCCCUGAUUGAAAGGUAGCCUUUCUGGCAUCGCCCCUCCCCCACAUUUGAUCAUGAGAUGCUUGUCGUUGUGCGGCAUUUGACUUAGCGAUGGUGGUCCAUUUCAGAAAUGUUCACAAUUGUAGGAGAAUGAAAAUAAAUAGCACUUGCCAGACCACCCAAAGCAAUUAUAAAUUAGCUUUCAUUUAUAAAAUCUAUGGAAAAAGUUGUGACUUUAAUGCAUGCAAUAAAUACUAUUAUAAACUGUACAAAUGAUGAAAAUUUUUGAUCUGGAAACAUUUUUUUUGAACCAGUCGGUUGAAUUGACCUUAUUACACCCCCCCCCCUUAAGAAUUUCCUGAGGACGGCCCUGACCACAUCAUACGUAUCACAUACUCCGCCAUACCACAGUAUACCCUACUCCACCAUGCAACAUGGCACCACACCAUACCAUACCAAACCAUACCAUAACAUAUACCACAUCGUACCACCCACACUUAUAACCAUACAAUAUGACACAACACUAUGCCACAUCUACUUUCACACCUUACUGUAACACACUACACCAUAGCAAUGAUACAAUGGCACCACGCCUUGCCACACCACACUGCAUCGUACUAUAUUACUCUACACCAUACCCUGCUAUACCAUAGCUUACCAUACUACACCAUACCAAACUGUUCCAAACCUUACCACAACAUUCAUACCAAUUGCCAUACCACACUGUGCGAUGAGGUUGUUCGUCUCACAUCAUGAUGUUUGUCCUGCAUGUUUGAAUCUUUACCAGGUUUAUUUCUUGGAGAGGUCACUUUUUUUCUGUUGAGCAAGUCUGGGUCCAGAUCAUCCAGGCCCAAAAACCAUAUGAAAAUCACAACUAGCUAGCUUUAUAUUAGUGCAUGGGGAGUUUCAACGAACAAUUAUAACUGGCAUGUUGGUAGGGGUUCAGGGAGAUUAUAGGGGAGCUAAAUGUAGCUACAUGGUAUAAAAAUCAGGAUUUGGGGCACUUCACUCGAUAGAUUUUACACUGGUGUCACAUUGGUAUACAUAUAUGCACGAACUUGCAGUUAAAGCUUGUCACCCGAACUCUGUAGGCUGUAGCUGAGUUGGUUAGAGCGCUACAUUGGAAUCGCAGGUUCGAUUCCUGCCAGAGGGCCU
This is a non-coding RNA of Paramuricea clavata, 1238 nucleotides long. NCBI's taxonomy places the organism in Eukaryota, Metazoa, Cnidaria, Anthozoa, Malacalcyonacea, Plexauridae. The record is from the annotation of a GenBank genome assembly.